AUGGGCGCAAGCCUGAUGCAGCGACGCCGCGUGAGGGAUGACGGCCUUCGGGUUGUAAACCUCUGUUAGCAUCGAAGAAGCGAAAGUGACGGUAGGUGCAGAGAAAGCGCCGGCUAACUACGUGCCAGCAGCCGCGGUAAUACGUAGGGCGCGAGCGUUGUCCGGAAUUAUUGGGCGUAAAGAGCUUGUAGGCGGUUGGUCGCGUCUGCUGUGAAAGGCUGGGGCUUAACCCUGGUUUUGCAGUGGGUACGGGCUAACUAGAGUGCAGCAGGGGAGACUGGAAUUCCUGGUGUAGCGGUGGAAUGCGCAGAUAUCAGGAGGAACACCGAUGGCGAAGGCAGGUCUCUGGGCUGUAACUGACGCUGAGAAGCGAAAGCAUGGGGAGCGAACAGGAUUAGAUACCCUGGUAGUCCAUGCCGUAAACGUUGGGCACUAGGUGUGGGGGACAUUCCACGUUUUCCGCGCCGUAGCUAACGCAUUAAGUGCCCCGCCUGGGGAGUACGGCCGCAAGGCUAAAACUCAAAGAAAUUGACGAGGGCCCGCACAAGCGGCGGAGCAUGCGGAUUAAUUCGAUGCAACGCGAAGAACCUUACCAAGGCUUGACA
RNAcentral lists this ribosomal RNA (605 nucleotides) under Rothia dentocariosa. RNAcentral describes it as "bacterial SSU rRNA". It matches the Rfam family "Bacterial small subunit ribosomal RNA", at positions 371 to 986 of the family's 1533-position model. Lineage: Bacteria; Bacillati; Actinomycetota; Actinomycetes; Micrococcales; Micrococcaceae. The record is from RNAcentral.